RNAcentral lists this ribosomal RNA (253 nucleotides) under uncultured bacterium. RNAcentral's name for it is "partial 16S ribosomal RNA". It matches the Rfam family "Bacterial small subunit ribosomal RNA", at positions 524 to 776 of the family's 1533-position model. The record is from RNAcentral.
UACGUAGGGUGCAAGCGUUGUCCGGAAUUAUUGGGCGUAAAGAGCUCGUAGGCGGUUCGUUGCGUCGGCUGUGAAAUCCCGAGGCUCAACCUCGGGUCUGCAGUCGAGACGGGCGGACUGGAGUUCGGCAGGGGAGACUGGAAUUCCUGGUGUAGCGGUGAAAUGCGCAGAUAUCAGGAGGAACACCGGAGGCGAAGGCGGGGCUCUGGGCCGAUACUGACGCUGAGGAGCGAAAGCGUGGGGAGCGAACAGG